AAAAAACAACAUAGUAAAGACAAUUAGUGACCAAAUACAUAUGCAAAAAGAAUUGCCAAUACAGUUACUCCCAAUAAUCAAUAUGAAAUACAGAAACAUAAUACAUAGGAUGCUAUAAGUAGCUAAAUUGAUCACAUUUGGCAAGUUCCAAAGUCACUACAUCAAUAGAAUAUCUUGUCAAUUUAUUAUUCUCAUCCAGCUCAGUUUCAACUAUCUGGAGUUAGUUACAUGUAGCUGUGUGACAAGCUACAGGAUCAAUUCUCAUCAACAUCAACAUAAAAUAUCCUGCUAUAAAUGCAUUUACAAAACAAAAUAAUAACUUCCAUAUGUUGGA
Molecule: unclassified non-coding RNA, 334 nt
Filed under: Hevea brasiliensis (rubber tree)
Lineage: Eukaryota; Viridiplantae; Streptophyta; Magnoliopsida; Malpighiales; Euphorbiaceae
Source: RNAcentral